RNAcentral lists this transfer RNA (66 nucleotides) under Aeolidia papillosa. RNAcentral describes it as "tRNA-Val". Lineage: Eukaryota; Metazoa; Mollusca; Gastropoda; Nudibranchia; Aeolidiidae. The record is from RNAcentral.
AAGAAUGAAGUAUAGAUUUUUACAUUUCAGUUACAUUGAAAAAAGCCACAACAUUUGGUGUUCUUA